AGUGAACGCUGGCGGCGUGCCUAAUACAUGCAAGUCGAACGGAGUGGCGCACGGGUGAGUAAUAUAUAGCUAACUUCCUCAUUACUAUGGGACAACAGUUGGAAACGACUGCUAAUACCUUAUAGUAAUGGAUAGGGCUAUAUCGUAUCCACUAGUUGGUAAGGUAACGGCUUACCAAGGCUAUGACGCGUAAAUGGUCUGAGAAGAUGUUCAGUCACACUGGAACGGAGACACGGUCCAGACUCCUACGGGAGGCGGCAAUAGGGAAUAUUGCUCAAUGGGGGAAACACUGAAACAAGAACGCCGCGUAGAGGAUGACACUUUUAGGAGCGUAAACUCCUUUUCUUGAGAAAGCGGUACCAAAAGAAUAAGCACCGGCUAACUCCGUGCCAGCAGCCGCGGUAAUUC
RNAcentral lists this ribosomal RNA (408 nucleotides) under uncultured bacterium. RNAcentral describes it as "partial 16S ribosomal RNA". It matches the Rfam family "Bacterial small subunit ribosomal RNA", at positions 29 to 526 of the family's 1533-position model. The record is from RNAcentral.